Molecule: non-coding RNA, 244 nt
Organism: Cherax quadricarinatus
Lineage: Eukaryota; Metazoa; Arthropoda; Malacostraca; Decapoda; Parastacidae
Source: RefSeq, a predicted model, not a curated record
UGGACACAGCGAACUCUCACAUGACCAGAUUAUGGAAGAGACUGCAAUCUUGCAACAUGAGCAUCACGUUCAUCAUCUGAAUCAUCCUCACGAGGGACACAAUGAUCACCAUAAUAAUGAAAUGCUUCAGCACCUGAGCACACACCAUGGGCACCAGCGUGGUGGCCAGCCAGGUCAUGAGGACCCCAGCCAGGAUGAUGGUAGCAACGACGAUGACCAAGACAGCAGCCAGGAAGCAGCGGUA